UAAACGGCCCUUUUAAGGGCCAAAAGAUGUGCAAAAUCCGAUCGUUU
Molecule: non-coding RNA, 47 nt
Organism: Trachymyrmex cornetzi
Lineage: Eukaryota; Metazoa; Arthropoda; Insecta; Hymenoptera; Formicidae
Source: Rfam